This 465-nucleotide ribosomal RNA is filed under the name Vreelandella stevensii. RNAcentral's name for it is "partial 16S ribosomal RNA". It matches the Rfam family "Bacterial small subunit ribosomal RNA", at positions 338 to 795 of the family's 1533-position model. The record is from RNAcentral. Lineage: Bacteria; Pseudomonadati; Pseudomonadota; Gammaproteobacteria; Oceanospirillales; Halomonadaceae.
CCUACGGGGGGCUGCAGUGGGGAAUAUUGGACAAUGGGGGGAACCCUGAUCCAGCCAUGCCGCGUGCGUGAAGAAGGCCCUCGGGUUGUAAAGCACUUUCAGUGAGGAAGAACGCCUGGUGGUUAAUACCCAUCAGGAAAGACAUCACUCACAGAAGAAGCACCGGCUAACUCCGUGCCAGCAGCCGCGGUAAUACGGAGGGUGCGAGCGUUAAUCGGAAUUACUGGGCGUAAAGCGCGCGUAGGUGGCUUGAUAAGCCGGUUGUGAAAGCCCCGGGCUCAACCUGGGAACGGCAUCCGGAACUGUCAAGCUAGAGUGCAGGAGAGGAAGGUAGAAUUCCCGGUGUAGCGGUGAAAUGCGUAGAGAUCGGGAGGAAUACCAGUGGCGAAGGCGGCCUUCUGGACUGACACUGACACUGAGGUGCGAAAGCGUGGGUAGCAAACAGGAUUAGAUACCCCUGUAGUC